UACUUCAACAUCGAGUUUACGCACUGCCA
This 29-nucleotide non-coding RNA is filed under the name Homo sapiens (human). The record is from RNAcentral. Lineage: Eukaryota; Metazoa; Chordata; Mammalia; Primates; Hominidae.